AAAUUGAAGAGUUUGAUCAUGGCUCAGAUUGAACGCUGGCGGCAGGCCUAACACAUGCAAGUCGAGCGGUAGCACAGAGAGCUUGCUCUCGGGUGACGAGCGGCGGACGGGUGAGUAAUGUCUGGGAAACUGCCUGAUGGAGGGGGAUAACUACUGGAAACGGUAGCUAAUACCGCAUAACGUCGCAAGACCAAAGUGGGGGACCUUCGGGCCUCAUGCCAUCAGAUGUGCCCAGAUGGGAUUAGCUAGUAGGUGGGGUAACGGCUCACCUAGGCGACGAUCCCUAGCUGGUCUGAGAGGAUGACCAGCCACACUGGAACUGAGACACGGUCCAGACUCCUACGGGAGGCAGCAGUGGGGAAUAUUGCACAAUGGGCGCAAGCCUGAUGCAGCCAUGCCGCGUGUGUGAAGAAGGCCUUCGGGUUGUAAAGCACUUUCAGCGGGGAGGAAGGCGUUAAGGUUAAUAACCUUGGCGAUUGACGUUACCCGCAGAAGAAGCACCGGCUAACUCCGUGCCAGCAGCCGCGGUAAUACGGAGGGUGCAAGCGUU
This 550-nucleotide ribosomal RNA is filed under the name Klebsiella pneumoniae. RNAcentral's name for it is "bacterial SSU rRNA". It matches the Rfam family "Bacterial small subunit ribosomal RNA", at positions 1 to 542 of the family's 1533-position model. The record is from RNAcentral. Lineage: Bacteria; Pseudomonadati; Pseudomonadota; Gammaproteobacteria; Enterobacterales; Enterobacteriaceae. RNAcentral also lists the same sequence under 1 other name.